This is a long non-coding RNA of Hydractinia symbiolongicarpus, 5963 nucleotides long. RefSeq lists it as uncharacterized. The transcript has 2 exons. Lineage: Eukaryota; Metazoa; Cnidaria; Hydrozoa; Anthoathecata; Hydractiniidae. The record is from RefSeq and is a predicted model, not a curated record.
ACUUUUAAAAUGCGAUAUAAAAAAAACAUUUCUAUCGCCGUUUUUUCGUUUUUAAACUUUUAAAAUGCGAUCUAAAAAAACAUUUCUAUCGCCGUUUUUCGUUUUUAAACUUUUAAAAUGCGAUCUAAAAAAACAUUUCUAUCGCCGUUUUUCGUUUUUAAACUUUUAAAAUGCGAUCUAAAAAAACAUUUCUAUCGCCGUUUUUCGUUUUGAAACUUUUAAAAUGCGAUCUAAAAAAACAUUUUUAUCGCCGUUUUUCGUUUUGAAACUUUUAAAAUGCGAUCUAAAAAAAACAUUUCUAUCGCCGUUUUUCGUUUUUAAACUUUUAAAAUGCGAUCUAAAAAACAUUUCUAUCGCCGUUUUUCGUUUUUAAACUUUUAAAAUGCGAUCUAAAAAAGCUUUUCUAUCAAAAUUAAAGUUUCAAUCUUUGUUAAAAUAUAAUAAUUUCUAUGGCUUAAAAGGUUUAUUUAACCCGCGCAACCAACAAUGCCUUCUCGCUAGUUUAUUUAUUUUCCACGCAAAACUUUUGUUUAAUAAAAAUAUUAAACAAUGGCUCUUCGUGUCACAUUGAUAGAGUUGAUAACAUUUGCAAUUAUGCUAUUGGGAAUAGUUUUGUUAACACUAUUUAACAAUAGUUACGCGCAGUUGUAAUAAGCUAUUUUUUCUUCGAUAAUCUUUUGUUUAUUACGCGUAAGUUAAUGACUUACAAGACUCGCAAGAUAAUUAAUAAGAACAAAAGACAAACAACUACCGCCUCCGAGAAAAAGGUGUGAAACUUGAGCGUACGCGUACGCUUACAUCUGGACUGUACUGUAGGAUGCAUUAAGUAUAUUUCAUUUCUUUCUUUGUGGAACUGUGAUGAAUAUGUUCAUCAUUUAUCUAUAUUGAAUAUUUAAUUAUUUUUUUAUUUAUUUUACUAUUAUAUGUUUUACUAUACUGGUUCAGAAAUUUUUUCAUUCAGGGUUAAAGAAUGUGGCUCAGGGGCGACUUAAAAUUGAAGGGUCCGGAAAUAAAGCAUGACGACAUGCGCGGUGAUUCGAGUUGUUGUUGGAAAUCCUCAGUGAUAAUGGUGUGGUGUGCGAAGCAUGUCAGAGGGGUUUAUUAAGAUAUUCUUUGAGUCAUUAAUUCAUAUUUUCAUUCUCCAGAGGGAAAGUGAAGACAAUAAUGAAUUUUUUUAAUUACGACAACAACGUGUAUCUUGUUUUUUCUCAAGUCUUUUUAGAUUGGCGUCACGAUCACUGACGCAAGUUACAGUUGUACAAAAUAUUUAAAGCAAUUCUUGCGGUCAGAUUUGCGUCAUAACACUGGUUGAACAAAUCACGGGCCAGUAUUCAGGUUAAGCAGCCAUUAUGAAAUGGUGUAUAAAUGCUGCAAUCAUAAUGUUUUUGUGGUGAAACCUUCAUAAUUACAAUAUGGAUUUUUCAAGGAAUUCUUUUUUUUUUUAGUCAAAUCUUUAAUAUGUUUUAGAUACUGCUUAAUUUUUUCCAUUUUGCGACAUUUUAUCGCUGUUUUUGCUUGUAAAUUCUGUUUAAUUAAGGUUGCUACUGUGAAGGUUUGACCAUGAAAAGUCCACUUUGUACCCCAUCAGAGAGCAACGAAGGAGAACAUUCCUACCGCAAGAAUGUAUGUAAUAAACUAGGUUUCUUGUGUAUGGUGGGAAAGUCUGUUAUAACACAACUGUUAAAUUUCUCAAACCCUCAAGCAACUAAUUAGGCUUUUACUUUAGUGGCUCCAUCAUCUCUCUUGAACUGUGAUGAACCAGUGUGUUGUGAUCACUUCAUGAUGAAAUACAGAUUUCUUUUCCAAAUCUUGAACAAUUUCUAAGUUCAAAGAUUUCAUCUCUUGUGUGUCUGAAAUUUUACCAAAAACCAAUAUUUUAUAGAAGAAGGUGCUUUACCAGCACAACGACAACAAACUCCUAAGGAUAGUUGGUGUCCACAUCAACGCAAUUAAUAACAUUUCGAAUCUUAGGAACAUGGAUAUGUAGUAUGUUUGGAAGAUGCUGCUCCAUCAGGUUGAAUAUCAGACUAUUGCUCAGUCACAACUGCUUCGUAAAGAACAAAAAUGUUAUGAAGAAUAAAGUUAUAAAGUUUUUUACUAAACAUAUAAUAAAAUUUGGUAGUUAAAAAAUAAAACGAAUGGGAAACGAUUUGGAAACGAUUUAGAAACAAUAUUCCGAAACGAUUUAGAAUCAACUUCUGAAACGAUUCGGAAACGAAUUCGGAAACAAAUUAUAAAACAAAUUGUUAUUUUGUUUUUCUUUGAAGCUUAAUUAAAAAACAAUUAAAACGCAAUAAAAAUCGAUUCUUAAAAAUUAUUUUAAAGCAGAUGUCGAUCCUGGAGAAGGCGUCAUUUACAAGCUUAGACUUCUUUUAUAUAUUAGUACACUUUUAAAGAAAUCUUAUAUUUAUUGUUUAUUCAUACGUUAUAGUUUUUCCAAAAAACUAAAACACCAUGACGACGUUAAAUGAAAGUGAAUUUAAAUGUGCCAACCCAGAGGUAGCACCUUUCCAUUUUAAAAGAAAACGGACCAUAAACUGUUGUUCUGGCUUCAUAAGAUCUGAUAUGGAAAGAUUGUACAGUGUUCAUGAGUUGGCAGAGGGAAGUUUGUUGAGGAAAACGAAAAUACUCUGGCCAAGUUACUGAUAAGUUACUGAUAGGCCCUAUCACUAAGCCAGUUGAGAAUAAUUACUGUGAAUAAAUCAACGACAAUGACUUUUUAUUUUUUGAGUGUGUGUUUACAUGCAAAAACAAGACUUGCAUGCAGUUAUGGUGUGAUAUUUUUAUGUUGCUAGGUACAAAAUCAUGUAAAGCUAUAUACAGAAAACAAAUUAACUUCAGUUACCUGGGGAAAUUAUUGGAUAUUUUCCUCCUUAGAAUGCAAUUAUUUAAAAUUGAUUAUCCAAAAAAAAUUAAUAAAAUUUCAUGUGGAAUAUAACUUGUUAAAAAUAAUCCUAAAAAAAGCAAACAAUCGUUACUUCUUGUCUGGAAUUAAAAAGCGAAUAAAUGUUGAUAUAUCAUUCGCAAUCUGAAGAGUAGGGUUAAAAGGUACGAUAAGUUCCAUUGUUUCGAAAAAUAUGUUCUUGUUAUUUAUAGACUUUUAUAAUCUGGUACAUGAAUAAUUAAUUAUUUACAUUAGCUUUCUGAAUAAUUUGUUUAGGUUUCUUAUGAAAGAGUAUUUAAUGUUAAAAGAGACAUAUAGGUAUCGGUUGUUGUACAAUCUUUAAAACAUCACUGUUUUGUAUUAGAAAAAAUAGUGAGAGAACUUAAAAACCCAAGUCUAACAAAGCCAUAUUUUGUUAUACAUUGCGAAAAAAGAGUCUACAAUAUGUGAACAUUAUGUCUAAUAAAUAGAUAAAUCUUAUCUAAGAAAAAAUUAAGUUACCUACGAAUUAUCCUUUCUCACAAUUUUGAAAUUUCAAGUGCAGCCCGCUACGUAGUUAAAACUAUGCGUAUUUAUUUAAAAACUUUAGAAUUUAAUUCGUAACUGGUUCUAUAGAAAUCGGCUACAAAUACUACCCAUGACAAUUGCAAUGUAAUAAAUUAGAAACAAUUUUAAAAUGAUCUAUAGGCAACGAAACAAAUUGUUUGGAAAAAAGUGUGAAAGGAUUUUGAAAUAAAGUUGAAACAAAUUUUAAUGAAGUACUUACGAUGAGAUUGCGAAGCGAUUGAGAAAGGAUUGCGAAACGAUUCUAACUGAAAUAAAACAAUUUUAAAGCAAAUUUAUAAUUGUUGAUAUGAUGGCAUAUGAAUUUGACUACUUUGAUACCAAUUUGCAUAAGCAUGACCACUUCAACUCAUACUCCUUCUUUAAGAAACGACUUCCUCUGCAUGUAACUAGUUAAAAUGUUGCUUUUAUUGCAACCAAUUAGGCUCUUAAUCAAGUAGUGGCAAGUUGUUUUUGGAAAGUACAAAACGUUUUUUAUUGUUGACAACGAAGAAGUUUUUUUAAAUUAUUAUAAUUAAUAUUUGUGACAUUGCUUUUUGUUUCUCUUGGUGGUUUAAAAUGCCUGGUACACACCCAAAACCUCAAAACUAAAAAACAAGGUUUUUUAUUGUGACUUAAUUUUUUUCAUCAGGUGGAAUGAGUGCCUGUGAAGCUGUGAAGGUUUACUCUGUACCACGAGCGACAAUUGGGACAAACUUCGGGGGUAAAAGCAAAUCAGUAGUUACUUCUAGAGGAAAUGCACCAGUUAUUUCCAAAGCUGAUAAAGAUUGAUUUGCGGAAUGGAUACUCAAUAUGAUCUGAUAUGGUUUUCCGCGCACACCCUUAUAAAUUUAAGAGGCUGUCAAAUGUAUCUAGAUAAAUCGAGAAUUAAAACUCCCUAUUUUGUUGAAAAUCGCCCUGGAAAAACAUGUUUUUUUGGUUUUCUUAAAUGCUAUCCCGACAAUAAACUUGGAUGGGCCAAAAAAUUGGAACAGGCAUGGGCAAUAGCGUGUACAGAAGAAAGUGUGCACGCUUGGUUUGAUACUUUUGAGGAAUUCGUGAAGGAAAAUAUAAUAUCUUUUGAUAGUCAAAUCUUCACCUGUAAUGAGCCUGACUUCCCAUUGCAGUCAAUAAAAGUCUGUUGUGACGAACAAAUUAGAGGAAAAUUCCAAAUAACCAGCAGAAACAAGACAUCUAUUGCAUGCUUGCAAUGCAUAUGCACAAAUGGUCUGUAGUCGCACCUGCAGUCAUCUUUCGAAUUGUGAAUAUUUAUCCUGAAAUGCUAUUUGUUUUCAAAAGUUUUUAUUUUGGAUUCACCAAAAUCGGAUGGAUUGAAACCACCCAGUUUUUUUGGGUGGCUCAGCAAUCAUUUUGUGAAAAGCAUUCCGCCAUUAGGACCAUGCAUGUUGCUUGUUGAUGGCCAUGCAUCACACAUUGAUUACCACACAAGCCCAUUUUGUCAACGAAGUCAAAUCUUGUUGUUCUGCCUACCUCAGCAUACCUCUCAUGCAAAUCAACCAAUCAACCUUUAACUCAUUGCGACUUUUUCAUUGUCUUUAAGCACAAUUUCUACUGGAUUAUGACCUGUAGGCAGUUUAAAUGUAGACCACGACCUUUUUAGACCUGCAAACGUCUUGGAUGAAGAGACAACGAAGGAAAGAAAAUUAUGCUACUUUGACGUCUGACACAAGUUUUAGCAGUCUGGCAUGACAAAUAUGGCCUAUGUGAAUGGAGUAGAAUCAAGUCAAACCAGCUAGCUCAAAGUGGCACAACUCCCCAAAAUUGCAUCCUGUCCAACAAGCGUUGAUUAAUAUGAAACAAGGUAUUGGAAAUAAGAAACAUAUUUUUCUAAAACGCUUUAUGGAAGACUUUUCCAUCCCCAACGAAAGUUUUUAACAAGCUUUGAAAGUCCUUUACUAAGGUUUGUUAGAAGUCAAAAAGAGAAACUUUGAUUAGAUGGUUUUCCUUUCUCCCCACAAGACAACGUAAAUCCGAUUACAACUCGAUAUUGCGCUACCUGAAGAUAAAAGAAAACAAAAACAAUAAAAAAUAAAAAAUAGGAAGGACUUUCCAAAACACAUGACCAGUGUUACAGCCAUUAAAUUCCUAAAUAUACAACACAACGUAAAAGAUCUGACUAAAGCUUGUUAAGGAGGCUAACGGACAAAAGCAAAAAUCAAGACUGCUGUUAAAGCUAGCCAAUCUGAAUUAGCUUUAGUAGAGACAGGAAAAUUAAGUCGCUCACCUAAAAAGAAAAUAUUUUUAAUGGAAUGGAAGAUGGUGUGGAAAGGUUUGGAUCCAAUGGGACAAGUGUUUGACUUGGUUUCGUGCUGCAUGCACUAACUAAAAGAACGAAAUUGAUGCGCUAUUCCAAUCGAAGUGUAAAAAUUGUUUUUUACACUUCCAUUGGAAUAGUGCAAAAAUUCCAGUUUUAUUUUAUUGUCCAUUUAUUUUAUUAUCCAUUGGAAUAGUAAAAGUUCCAGUUUUAUUUUAUUUUAUGACAAUAAAUACAAAUUGUAAUAACACAGAUACUUUA